CAAUCUCAACACCGACCAGCUUCAAUAACCAUUAACCCGCCCCGACCUUCUAACUUGAUCAACAGCUCUAACUCAUCAAAAUCUGUCAAAUCAACCUACAACCAACCUAUCUUAAUCCUCUUCACGCAUCCCACGUGAUGUUGUACCAUGGAAGAUCGGAGAAGCUUCUAGAAAGAGGGUGAGUUAGCUCAUCUAACAUCCAUAUUUAACAAAUUUUGGGGUAAUGGUAUGGAUUAGGUAUAUAUUUAGCGAUUUUUCAUUGGGUCUGGGGGAGAAUUUAUUUAUCACCAAUUCUAUUGGUCCACCAAACUCAAAUUGGUGCGGAUUGAGGACAAAAAUAGAGCUGGCUGGGGGAAUUCAAAAUUAAAAUGGGCUAUUUUUGGAAAUCCCAGGAAUGCCCUUAAUCCCUUCUAUAAAAGGGCUCACGGAGAGCCGAGAAAAGGGUUUGAUUUUCGUGAAUGAAGGUUGGUAAAGAGAGGGAAUCGAAAAAAGAAAAUUAAGAGAGGCAGAAGAGAAUUUUGAGAGGAAAAAUUCCUUUUAGUAGAAAAAUUCUCGUUUCUUUCUUCUUUUGAGAGUUAGAUGAUUAAUUGAAGGGUCUCGAGUUGAUAACACUGAGCUUCGACGGUGGUCGACAUCCUGACAAUUAGCUCGUUUCCUCGUUUAACUGCCCCGAAGGAGGUAAACGCUCUCGUCCUUGUAAUUCUAUUAUUUUUUACUUCAUCCCCCUUUCUCCAUAGAAUUAGUUCAAUUAUUCAGUAAUAAUCAUGAAUGAGGCUGGAUUUUGUCUGUUGUAGAUGGUCGUAAUGGCCUUAGGGGUUCUUUUGUGAUUAUUGUUAUGCCAUCUUGCUGAGGCAGUGCUCAUGUUGUAAUUCUCAAUGCAAUUAUGUCGAAUAUACUGUCUUUUAAUUGACGUUGUUGGUUACCUGAGAGUUUGUGGUAUGAAUCUACAUAUAUAUCAUCAAGAUUCUGCCUUUCGUGUCCCGUUUCCCUUUCUGAUUUAGUGUUUCUUGCUACGUUAGGCUAACUAUUGUUAUAAUCAUUUGAUCCAUGAUUUUUGCCUCACUUUACUUCCCUCGGUUUUGUAAUAUAUUGUUCAAACCUCAAUAUGGUUGGUUAAUUAUUUACCCAUUGUUUCAUUUUACAUGCUACUUAUGGUUUGAUUCACUGUCUCUAUGUUUAAGUAUCCUUAUUUUAGUCUAAGUUACGUCUUCUUGAGUGUACCUUCGCUUUGAUUCACCCCAGUUUUCUUGAGUCUUGUCCUUAAUUCGAGGUCACCGGUGGGGCUUUAGUUCCCUGGAUCAACUGGACUCAGACUACCUCAUAGCUCUUGACUUUUGAGAUUAAUAGAGAUGAUGGGUAUACGUCUUUAGUAAGUUGACAGUCCUAUGAACUCUCGAUGACCCUGCUUUCGACUUUCAAAAAUUUAUUUCUAGUUGAGGCCGGAAAGAGGGUGAGGAGGGCCUCACAGAUGUAUUUCUGAAGUGCGAAUCGCGUUCUUGUUGGGUGUUGACUGAAAAAAGGAGAAAACGUUGUUUUGUUCCUUCUUUGCAAAUAACUUCGCCUAGAUGUUUAUUGUCCUUUUCACUUUCUUGGUUUUAUCGAAUAUGUUUUUUUUAGAGAACCAUUGCUCCUAAAAAAAAUGAUGCGAGUUUUGUAGUCUGAACAGUUCAUUUCUCCUUCCAGAUAUAUGAUCGGGAUGAUAUGCAUAUUUUAACUUAAUUAUAAAUCUGGAUAAGUUGACUUAUGUGGAUUUGUAGUACAUCAAUUACCUGUUGUAGCUUAAAAUUGUGCAGACUUAUGAGUUGAUCGAUUCAAUUAAUUAGGCAUCGAUUGGUUCAUUUCUUCAUCUGAGAUGAUUACCCUUAAGGAUGGGUCAUCUUAUGUAUCGAUUAAGCAACUUUUUAGAGGUUUCUUGAAUUUAUUCUACUGAGUAUUUGUUACAUGUAAUUGAACAUACUCUAGACAUUAGUGAUUGAAGGUUUAAUUAGUUGUCAGGUGUUCCAAACUUUACGAAUCUCUGAUGUUGAACAGUUGCACCAAAAACAUUGGCAUGCUUCAAAUAAUUAGUCCAAAGUGGUUACAGACAUGUGGGUGUUUUAUUAGCUGAAAUGUAAAGUCCAUCUUUAUCUUGCAUAUGGACUCUUCUUCCUGAAUUGAUCUAGACACGCCUCAUUAUUUUCCAUUGGCUAUUGAUUGCUGAUUAGGAUCGUAUUACGUUGUUUCUUUUAGUUAAUCGUGUGUUAAUUCUUAUUUCAUUCUUUGUUGAUCAUGUCUUAAUUACCGUUGUCUUUCCUCCUCGAAUUAACCAUGUAUAAACUAUUCUAGUUUCCUAUUUUGGUGAGCAUGCAUUGAUUUCCUUUAUGUUUCCUUUCUCCUUACCUUUAUUGAAUAUAUAUUAAUGUAUUUUAUUUCUUCUUUCUUUGCAUUUAAAUCCAUUUCGAAGCCCCAAUGGGUUCUUUCCCUUUGCAUCUAAAUGGGCCAUUGAGGCCCACUAUGUCUAUCGAGUCAACCCCAAAAGAAAAUUCAAAGCCGGUUACAUAGCAUAUGGAUACAAGGAGUCAAAAGAAGAGAAAUGGGUUAAAGUCCCAUUCUUGAAGAGACGACAAAACCCGAGCCUCAUUUCUGUUUAUUUAUUUGUUGUGUUUAUUUAUUUAUUGUUGUCGUAUUUAUUUAUUUAUUUAUUUAGUUAUUCAUUUGGGCCUCGAAGCCAAAUCUGUAAACUAAUACAGGUGGAGCAAUUUCGAGCCACGGGCUCGAAAACUAGAUUAGGACAGGUGAAAUGGAUCAAAGGCCCAAUUACUAGGACAGGUCUUAUCGAUUUGGGCAUAAUGGUCUAAAUCCCUUCCUUUCUCCCUUUCCCUAUUUUCUUUAUGCUUGUUUGCCUUACGAGUUUUGUGAACCUAGUGAAAUCCUUAGACAAGUCGCUAAAAAACUGGUUUUGCAUAAACACCAAAAUAUUCCUAAAAUCGCUUUCUUUUCUAAAAUGAACUUCUUUCAAGGUUAAUCAAAGAUGAUUUUCAAACAGAUCGGAUAAGCGCAAGUUAGCAGACGUUUUAGGUGCCUAACACCUUCCUAAAACGUUAAUAGGAACCUCUUACUUAGAAUCUCUAACUUAAACGAUUUUCCUAUUUUGAAUCAUCUAAGUAUUUUAUAAAGGUUUCUUAAUUCCUUUUCAAAAUUAAGUGGCGACUCUUUCAAAAGUCAAAAUUUUCUCCGUAAAACAAUGUCGUCAUCCUAGAAAUUAUAUUUUAUAAAGUUCACAUUCUAACGCAGUUGACAUUAAACCUAUAUGCAGUAGCAUGUUCUGUAUUGAAAGGGAUUCAAUUGAAUCCCUUUCAUCGGAACAAAUAUUUUUGUUUGUUUGUAAAUUGUCGAAUCCCUUUGAUAUAAGGGGAGUGUAUAGUGUGUUGCAUGAAGUGUGUCGAAUAUACUAGUAGGAUACUGAUUCAAAUUUCAAGUGUGAUUCUUUUACCUUUUUUGGAAUCCCCUUGUUAGAAUUGUUGGCUCUGCCUUUACCCAUUUAUACUUGUUAUUUGAUUGCUCAAUUUCUUCCAUUUGUACUCUAUCUAUCUUCUUUUUCUUUUUCUACUUCAUUUCUGCUUUCAGUACCUAAUCAAACCAAUACUCGAAAUAGUUAGUUAAUAGGGCUAAAGAAGUACGUCAAACAACAUCUUCAUUUUGCACCUUUUUGCGUCUCAACAAAUAAAGUAUUAGCAAUAAAUAACAUAUACACCGUAUUAAUAUUUGAGAAGAAAUAACAGUGAAUGAAAAGAAGUUGGUCCUUGGAGUCUAUAUACUGCACCUACUCAUCCAAAAAAGAAAAAAAUAUUUGUGGUUCCUAUGAACAGUAUAGCUCUUGAACUAUAAUGUAGUAGACUCUCUUAGGUUGUAUACUUACUUAUUCUAGUUCCGGAUGUUGCCUUCUUUUGUUAACUCUUUUUGCUUACACUGUUCUAUUGAAGGUAUCCAGCUGACUUAUACAAAAGAGCAAAAAUCGAAUCUAUGCUGGACUAGAAUCAUACUAACUUCUCUCGCAGUUCAGUUGGGUUGCCUUUUAAUCCACAAGCAGCAGCGAAAGCUGAGAAACUCCUUAUAGCUUCUCUUGCACAUAUCGAGUCUGUUUGGCUCCAGAAAAAUGGAUGAUUUUUACAUGGAAGUGGUCAACCAUCAGUUGCAGAUCUUAGCUUAGUGAUAUUAUGCAACUUGAGGCAAACAUCAGUUAGAUUCAUUGGUGAGCUAUUUUGGAGUGUCUUGUUUCCAUGGAUGCAAAGUUCUUUAUUGUUUUCUCAGUUUAGAAGCUUCACUUUCCAAAUGAUUUACUGCACAUCUUCUCAAGCGCAUUGUCUUAUAUUGACUCUCCAUAACUAAGGUAAGCUAUUCUGGUUUCUCUUCCUUUCUUUAUAUGUACAUCUCUCUGAACUUCUAAUUCUCUAGUAUGUACGACAAACUUUCUCAUGUGUAAUUUCAUGUAUCUAUUCGAUGACCUUUGUUUUUGUUUCUGAGUCCACCGGAGGAAGGCGUUGAGGUGAUUGUAAGAGCUUUUACGACCUCAUAAGUGUUGUUCCUAUAUUUUCCUAUAAAAGACAUCAAAGUUUUAACAAAUAACAGAAGUCAAAUAGUCAUACAAUAUAGUUUAAUUACAGAUUACUUUAAAAGAAAAAGCAAAAUAUAUCUAAGUAGAUUAAAUGUAGAAGGAUAUAGUUACCUAUAAAUUAGAGAAGACUUCUUUAUACACUACAUUUGUAGUUUCAUUUGUUAUUCUCUCAUCUUCAUCAUAACAUAAGAUCUUCAGCCCUUUUCUAGAUGUUAUGCGAGAAAGGGCAACAUAUAGUUGUCCAUGAGUAAACACAGGCUUUUUAAAAAAUAAUUUCACACUGCACAAUGAUUGAUCUUGACUUUUAUUAAUGGUCAUGGCAAAAUAUACGAUCACUGGAAAUUACCUUCAUUGGAAUUUAAAAAGAAUCCGUGAAUCAGAUGGAGUAAGUGACAUUCUUAGAAUAAAAAUUUUGUUGUCAGAUUUUUCUCCAAAUAACACUUUCACUUCAAUUACCCAAUUUCCGAGUCUUAUGAUGAUUAAUCGUAUGCCGUUACACAAUUCUAUUGAUUGAUGUAUAUUUCUUUGCAACAUCACGAGAACACCUACCUUCAAAGUGAUAGAGUGAUUUGGAAUACCUGAGCAUUUAAUACUAUUUAGGAAUUCAGGUGUAUGCACAUGUCCCAAAGAUGUAAAUGAAUGAUCAGACAUAUAAACUGUAUCAGAACUAAAAUAUGACUUUUCCUGUCCACAAUUGAGAGAAACCAUGUAAUCAUUCAC
Capsicum annuum is the source of this 5314-nucleotide long non-coding RNA. RefSeq lists it as uncharacterized. The transcript has 3 exons. Lineage: Eukaryota; Viridiplantae; Streptophyta; Magnoliopsida; Solanales; Solanaceae. The record is from RefSeq and is a predicted model, not a curated record.